AGAGUUUGAUCAUGGCUCAGAUUGAACGCUGGCGGCAUGCCUUACACAUGCAAGUCGAACGCGAAAGGGGGGCAACCCCCGAGUAGAGUGGCGAACGGGUGAGUAAUACAUCGGAACGUACCCAGUAGCGGGGGAUAACCUCUCGAAAGAGAGGCUAAUACCGCAUACGUCCUACGGGAGAAAGAGGGGGAUCGCAAGACCUCUCACUAUUGGAGCGGCCGAUGUCGGAUUAGCUAGUUGGUGGGGUAACGGCCCACCAAGGCGACGAUCCGUAGCUGGUCUGAGAGGACGGCCAGCCACACUGGAACUGAGACACGGUCCAGACUCCUACGGGAGGCAGC
This 341-nucleotide ribosomal RNA is filed under the name uncultured soil bacterium. RNAcentral describes it as "bacterial SSU rRNA". It matches the Rfam family "Bacterial small subunit ribosomal RNA", at positions 8 to 352 of the family's 1533-position model. The record is from RNAcentral.